GAUAUCAUUCUCCAUUUUCUAAUAAGCCGCAUAAAACAUAUAUAUAUUUUGUUGAGAGAUAGGUGACACGCUAACCGGUUCGUUUAUUUUAUUUAGAAAUAAAUUUAGCUAGAAAUGUAAAUCAACUAGGAUUCGAAUUUGGACCGGUCUCGGGUACCAACCACCAAGCCCUUUGCCACUUGCUCUAGGGACGGUCGGUGCCGCAUAAAAUAUAUUAUAACCAACUUGUUGCAAUACGCAGAAGCUAGAAGGUGAUAUUAGGUU
Molecule: long non-coding RNA, 264 nt
Filed under: Ananas comosus (pineapple)
Lineage: Eukaryota; Viridiplantae; Streptophyta; Magnoliopsida; Poales; Bromeliaceae
Description: long non-coding RNA (ACOM_LNC024724)
Source: RNAcentral